AGAUUAAAGUUCGUCAUUCACGACGCUCGUUUUAGUGUGGAUCGCCUACUGGGAGCUGUGAUAGGUGCCGUGAUGAAUACUUAAGUACUUUGAUGGAUCCACUGCCGGAUCGCGUACUAGAUUUCAUGAUAGAAUAUGUCCUACCUUGAUAAUCUUCCUUGAUGGAUUUUAACGAGGGCCAGUCAAAGAAUAGCAUCUUGUCACGGAGCCGUUUUAGUGAUCGAUAAGAAUAGAAUGAUAGAGUCGAAAAAUGACUUACUUUUUCAGCAAUUAGAUCCAAAAAAGUUUCCUUGUCAUUUUUUAAUUGGAGUAAGUUUUCUGUUCGAAAAGUUGAUAACAGACCAAAAAAAAACACACAUCAUAGUCAAACUAAUAUAUC
Molecule: non-coding RNA, 379 nt
Organism: Cinara cedri
Lineage: Eukaryota; Metazoa; Arthropoda; Insecta; Hemiptera; Aphididae
Source: the annotation of a GenBank genome assembly